This 262-nucleotide ribosomal RNA is filed under the name Dysdera silvatica. RNAcentral describes it as "partial 12S ribosomal RNA". Lineage: Eukaryota; Metazoa; Arthropoda; Arachnida; Araneae; Dysderidae. The record is from RNAcentral.
CCAAUUCUUUUUAAAGGAACUCGUUUGUUAAUCGACACUACUCGUUAAUUUUAACUUACUUAAGUUAGCUUAUAUACCGCCGUCAAAACUAUUUUCCAAAAAAUAUUUUCUUCUACACUAAUUUAUGUCAGGUCAAGGUAUAGCCAAUAUUUAAGUUCAAAUAAGUUACUAUAAAUAAAAUUUAUAGAAAUAAAUUAAACUUACAUAAAAAAGGAUUUAAAAACAAUAUUUUAAUACUAAUCCAAUAUGAAAAUGUUUUAAC